CAGUGUCCGUGACGUCACGGACCCUGAGGCCAGUGAUAGAACUAAUCCCAGUGGCUGGACGACAAUGGUAUAAAAGCAAGCAGUUACACGGCUCCACCUCGAUUCAUCGACUGACCGAUCACACUGACAAGCGAGGACACAGCAGCCCGGAGUAAUUACCUCAGUCACAAGAGAGUUCCACAUACUCAGGCAUGAGACAAACGGUGUGCCAUCUCGUCAUGGUUGCUCUGGCAGCAAUGUGUGUGAUAGCUGUUGCCGCCGUCGCUGGGAAAGAAACUAUGGAGCCAUCAGUGCGACAGGACAGUCAGACAGGAGGUCGCUUGUCCUUCCUCCUGUCAAAGCGUUCCAGCGGUCUUUCUUUACUCGCUCCGCCAAGCCGCUACUCCCCUUACUUAAAACCCAUUACCGCCAAAAGAGACAACGGAUACUGGGUGUGGAUGCCAGCCCACGGAUACAUGACAGUACCCCAGGACGAGGCUUCGGAAGGAGCUGAGAGCAAGGAUGGAGUCAGCAACCUCCUCCGUUAUGGCUAAGAAAUAAUACAGUCACAACUCCUUGAAUGUUCAGAGUUUAUUGAAGAUGCCUUCAGCGUGGAUUUGACUUUCUUCAAAAUCAACAAAUAAUAUUUAGACAGGGUCUAUUUUUGUAAUUCAAUGCAUGCACUAAAAUAGUAACGCUUACCUAAAGACUAGUUGUAGUACCUUCCUAACAAUGUGCAGUUGUACUUCCCUACUGAUUGGCAGUAGUACUUCCCUAAAGACUGGCAGUAGCGCCUUACUAAAGACUUUCCUAUUAUGGUUAAAACAAGAAGACAGAUCUAAGGAACUGAUUGGACAACACUGAAGCUCUGAUCCUGUACAUAUCCUUCCACUGACGGGUCUACUUUCACUUGUGCUGGGUGUGGGGGUCCAUGCUUGAGGCAACGCAACUACUGAUCGUUACAAAAUCAAACGAUGGGCGGCAGAUGAGGGGACUUAGGAACAUUGUACAAUAAAUGGGUAUCCUUAAA
Haliotis rubra (blacklip abalone) is the source of this 1009-nucleotide long non-coding RNA. RefSeq lists it as uncharacterized. The transcript is spliced from 2 exons. The record is from RefSeq and is a predicted model, not a curated record. Lineage: Eukaryota; Metazoa; Mollusca; Gastropoda; Lepetellida; Haliotidae.